UCCCUGGUGGCUCAGACAGUUAAGCAUCUGCCUGCGGUGCAGGAAACCCUGGUUCAAUCCCUGGGUUGGGAA
Bos taurus (domestic cattle) is the source of this 72-nucleotide non-coding RNA. Lineage: Eukaryota; Metazoa; Chordata; Mammalia; Artiodactyla; Bovidae. The record is from Rfam.